UGUCAUGGCUGCUGUCAGUGAGGGCCCGUAAUGGAGAUCGAGUCAAGGGUUGCCCAGGGACACUUAAGAGCCUUCGGCUUCAAGGAGGCCUCUCAAAGGACAAAGGAUGAGACUGCCUGGCGGCAGAGUGCCCCCCACAAUCGUAGGAACUGUGUCGCCGCGCUUCCCGUUAACUUGCCGCUAAGUUUUUCUAGAAAAGUCGCCCUUCUUGCCAGGGGUGUCCUAUAGACUUUGUC
Molecule: long non-coding RNA, 236 nt
Filed under: Homo sapiens (human)
Lineage: Eukaryota; Metazoa; Chordata; Mammalia; Primates; Hominidae
Description: non-protein coding ENTPD1-AS1:9
Source: RNAcentral